This 255-nucleotide ribosomal RNA is filed under the name uncultured prokaryote. RNAcentral's name for it is "partial 16S ribosomal RNA". It matches the Rfam family "Bacterial small subunit ribosomal RNA", at positions 523 to 777 of the family's 1533-position model. The record is from RNAcentral.
AUACGUAGGGGGCGAGCGUUGUCCGGAAUUACUGGGCGUAAAGGGCGUGUAGGCGGUCCGCUAAGUCAGGUGUGAAAUUCCUGGGCUCAACCCAGGACGUGCGCCUGAGACUGACGGACUUGAGUCCGGGAGAGGAUGGUGGAACUCCCAGUGUAGAGGUGAAAUUCGUAGAUAUUGGGAAGAACACCCGUGGCGAAGGCGGCCAUCUGGACCGGUACUGACGCUAAGGCGCGACAGCGUGGGGAGCAAACAGGA